GAGUUUGAUCCUGGCUCAGGACGAACGCUGGCGGCGUGCUUAACACAUGCAAGUCGAACGAUGAUGCCCAGCUUGCCGGGCGGAUUAGUGGCGAACGGGUGAGUAAUACGUGAGUAACCUGCCCUUGACUCUGGGAUAAGCCUGGGAAACUGGGUCUAAUACUGGAUACUACCUCUUACCGCAUGGUGGGUGGUGGAAAGGGUUUUACUGGUUUUGGAUGGGCUCACGGCCUAUCAGCUUGUUGGUGGGGUAAUGGCUCACCAAGGCGACGACGGGUAGCCGGCCUGAGAGGGUGACCGGCCACACUGGGACUGAGACACGGCCCAGACUCCUACGGGAGGCAGCAGUGGGGAAUAUUGCACAAUGGGCGGAAGCCUGAUGCAGCGACGCCGCGUGAGGGAUGACGGCCUUCGGGUUGUAAACCUCUUUCAGUAGGGAAGAAGCGAGAGUGACGGUACCUGCAGAAGAAGCGCCGGCUAACUACGUGCCAGCAGCCGCGGUAAUACGUAGGGCGCAAGCGUUGUCCGGAAUUAUUGGGCGUAAAGAGCUCGUAGGCGGUUUGUCGCGUCUGCUGUGAAAGCCCGGGGCUCAACCCCGGGUCUGCAGUGGGUACGGGCAGACUAGAGUGCAGUAGGGGAGACUGGAAUUCCUGGUGUAGCGGUGAAAUGCGCAGAUAUCAGGAGGAACACCGAUGGCGAAGGCAGUUCUCUGGGCUGUUACUGACGCUGAGGAGCGAAAGCAUGGGGAGCGAACAGGAUUAGAUACCCUGGUAGUCCAUGCCGUANACGUUGGGCACUAGGUGUGGGGGACAUUCCACGUUUUCCGCGCCGUAGCUAACGCAUUAAGUGCCCCGCCUGGGGAGUACGGCCGCAAGGCUAAAACUCAAAGGAAUUGACGGGGGCCCGCACAAGCGGCGGAGCAUGCGGAUUAAUUCGAUGCAACGCGAAGAACCUUACCAAGGCUUGACAUUCACCGGACCGCCCCAGAGAUGGGGUUUCCCUUCGGGGCUGGUGGACAGGUGGUGCAUGGUUGUCGUCAGCUCGUGUCGUGAGAUGUUGGGUUAAGUCCCGCAACGAGCGCAACCCUCGUUCUAUGUUGCCAGCACGUGAUGGUGGGGACUCAUAGGAGACUGCCGGGGUCAACUCGGAGGAAGGUGGGGAUGACGUCAAAUCAUCAUGCCCCUUAUGUCUUGGGCUUCACGCAUGCUACAAUGGCCGGUACAAAGGGUUGCGAUACUGUGAGGUGGAGCUAAUCCCAAAAAGCCGGUCUCGGUUCGGAUUGAGGUCUGCAACUCGACCUCAUGAAGUCGGAGUCGCUAGUAAUCGCAGAUCAGCAACGCUGCGGUGAAUACGUUCCCGGGCCUUGUACACACCGCCCGUC
RNAcentral lists this ribosomal RNA (1380 nucleotides) under uncultured bacterium. RNAcentral describes it as "bacterial SSU rRNA". It matches the Rfam family "Bacterial small subunit ribosomal RNA". The record is from RNAcentral.